CCCGCACAAGCGGUGGAGCAUGUGGUUUAAUUCGAUGCAACGCGAAGAACCUUACCUGCCCUUGACAUCCUGGGAACCGGCCCGAGAGGGUUGGGUGCCUUCGGGAGCCCAGAGACAGGUGCUGCAUGGCUGUCGUCAGCUCGUGUCGUGAGAUGUUGGGUUAAGUCCCGCAACGAGCGCAACCCUUGUCCCUGAUUGCCAGCGGUUCGGCCGGGCACUUGAGGGAGACUGCCGGUGAUAAACCGGAGGAAGGUGGGGAUGACGUCAAGUCAUCAUGGCCUUUAUGGGCAGGGCGACACACGUGCUACAAUGGGCGGUACAACGGGUAGCCAAGCCGCGAGGCGGAGCCAAUCCCCAAAAGCCGCUCGUAGUCCGGAUCGGAGUCUGCAACUCGACUCCGUGAAGUCGGAAUCGCUAGUAAUCGUGGAUCAGCCAUGCCACGGUGAAUACGUUCCCGGGCCUUGUACACACCGCCCGUCACACCAUGGGAGUUGGCGGCACCAGAAGCCGGUAGCUGAACCUUCGGGAAGGCGCCGACCACGGUGUGGUCAAUGACUGGGGUGAAGUCGUAACAAGGUAGCCG
Molecule: ribosomal RNA, 583 nt
Filed under: uncultured bacterium
Lineage: Bacteria
Description: bacterial SSU rRNA
Rfam family: Bacterial small subunit ribosomal RNA
Source: RNAcentral